GACGAACGCUGGCGGCGUGCUUAACACAUGCAAGUCGAACGGAAAGGCCCUGCUUUUGUGGGGUGCUCGAGUGGCGAACGGGUGAGUAACACGUGAGUAACCUGCCCUUGACUUUGGGAUAACUUCAGGAAACUGGGGCUAAUACCGGAUAGGAGCUCCUGCUGCAUGGUGGGGGUUGGAAAGUUUCGGCGGUUGGGGAUGGACGCGCGGCUUAUCAGCUUGUUGGUUGGGUAGUGGCUUACCAAGGCUUUGACGGGUAGCCGGCCUGAGAGGGUGACCGGCCACAUUGGGACUGAGAUAGGGCCCAGACUCCUACGGGAGGCAGCAGGGGGGAAUAUUGCACAAUGGGCGGAAGCCUGAUGCAGCAACGCCGCGUGCGGGAUGACGGCCUUCGGGUUGUAAACCGCUUUCGCCUGUGACGAAGCGUGAGUGACGGUAAUGGGUAAAGAAGCACCGGCUAACUACGUG
Molecule: ribosomal RNA, 468 nt
Filed under: uncultured bacterium
Lineage: Bacteria
Description: partial 16S ribosomal RNA
Rfam family: Bacterial small subunit ribosomal RNA
Source: RNAcentral